AAACUGUCUUUCUCCCCGGCAACGGCGCCAGAAAUGAUUGUUGAUAUUUGGUGUUGACGGUCCUUAAGUACCAAAUAUAAUCAUCAAAUAAAUAAAGAAAAGGAUCCAAAUGCAACCAACACCCAGACUUAGGGUUUUAUCUGACAGAAUUCCAUGAGUUUUGGUGUUUGUCUAUUUCUACAGGGGGUUAUCAGGAAAUACGAAAGAAAGGCCCACAUGUCGGGUUUACAUAGAGAUAUUAAUGUGCCGCGCAAUUUUCUAUCGUCUAGAAGACUCCAGAAGCCACAGGAACA
Molecule: long non-coding RNA, 293 nt
Filed under: Sorghum bicolor (sorghum)
Lineage: Eukaryota; Viridiplantae; Streptophyta; Magnoliopsida; Poales; Poaceae
Description: long non-coding RNA (SBIC_LNC006932)
Source: RNAcentral